GCCUGGGUGGCUCAGUCAGUUGAGUGUAUGACUUCAGCUCAGCUCAUGAUCUCGUGGUCUGUGGGUUCGAGCCCCACUUCGGGCU
RNAcentral lists this transfer RNA (85 nucleotides) under Felis catus (domestic cat). It matches the Rfam family "tRNA". From Rfam's summary of the family: Transfer RNA (tRNA) molecules are approximately 80 nucleotides in length. Their secondary structure includes four short double-helical elements and three loops (D, anti-codon, and T loops). The record is from Rfam by way of RNAcentral. Lineage: Eukaryota; Metazoa; Chordata; Mammalia; Carnivora; Felidae.